CGCCGCGUGGAGGAUGAAGUCCCUUGGGAUGUAAACUCCUUUCGAUCGGGACGAUAAUGACGGUACCGGAAGAAGAAGCACCGGCUAACUCUGUCGC
This 97-nucleotide ribosomal RNA is filed under the name uncultured bacterium. Its description in RNAcentral is "partial 16S ribosomal RNA". It matches the Rfam family "Bacterial small subunit ribosomal RNA", at positions 395 to 509 of the family's 1533-position model. The record is from RNAcentral.